This 489-nucleotide ribosomal RNA is filed under the name uncultured Vibrio sp. RNAcentral describes it as "bacterial SSU rRNA". It matches the Rfam family "Bacterial small subunit ribosomal RNA", at positions 8 to 481 of the family's 1533-position model. Lineage: Bacteria; Pseudomonadati; Pseudomonadota; Gammaproteobacteria; Vibrionales; Vibrionaceae. The record is from RNAcentral.
AGAGUUUGAUCAUGGCUCAGAUUGAACGCUGGCGGCAGGCCUAACACAUGCAAGUCGAGCGGAAACGAGUUAUCUGAACCUUCGGGGAACGAUAACGGCGUCGAGCGGCGGACGGGUGAGUAAUGCCUGGGAAAUUGCCCUGAUGUGGGGGAUAACCAUUGGAAACGAUGGCUAAUACCGCAUAAUAGCUUCGGCUCAAAGAGGGGGACCUUCGGGCCUCUCGCGUCAGGAUAUGCCCAGGUGGGAUUAGCUAGUUGGUGAGGUAAGGGCUCACCAAGGCAACGAUCCCUAGCUGGUCUGAGAGGAUGAUCAGCCACACUGGAACUGAGACACGGUCCAGACUCCUACGGGAGGCAGCAGUGGGGAAUAUUGCACAAUGGGCGCAAGCCUGAUGCAGCCAUGCCGCGUGUAUGAAGAAGGCCUUCGGGUUGUAAAGUACUUUCAGCAGUGAGGAAGGUUCAUAUGUUAAUAGCGUANNGANUNNCGUAG